UAAUUUCUUCAAUUUCUUCAA
This 21-nucleotide non-coding RNA is filed under the name Caenorhabditis elegans. Lineage: Eukaryota; Metazoa; Nematoda; Chromadorea; Rhabditida; Rhabditidae. The record is from RNAcentral.